AGAGUUUGAUCCUGGCUCAGGACGAACGCUGGCGGCGUGCCUAAUACAUGCAAGUCGAACGCUUCUUUCCUCCCGAGUGCUUGCACUCAAUUGGAAAGAGGAGUGGCGGACGGGUGAGUAACACGUGGGUAACCUACCCAUCAGAGGGGGGAUAACACUUGGAAACAGGUGCUAAUACCGCAUAACAGUUUAUGCCGCAUGGCAUAAGAGUGAAAGGCGCUUUCGGGUGUCGCUGAUGGAUGGACCCGCGGUGCAUUAGCUAGUUGGUGAGGUAACGGCUCACCAAGGCCACGAUGCAUAGCCGACCUGAGAGGGUGAUCGGCCACACUGGGACUGAGACACGGCCCAGACUCCUACGGGAGGCAGCAGUAGGGAAUCUUCGGCAAUGGACGAAAGUCUGACCGAGCAACGCCGUGUGAGUGAAGAAGGUUUUCGGAUCGUAAAACUCUGUUGUUAGAGAAGAACAAGGACGUUAGUAACUGAACGUCCCCUGACGGUAUCUAACCAGAAAGCCACGGCUAACUACGUGCCAGCAGCCGCGGUAAUACGUAGGUGGCAAGCGUUGUCCGGAUUUAUUGGGCGUAAAGCGAGCGCAGGCGGUUUCUUAAGUCUGAUGUGAAAGCCCCCGGCUCACCGGGGGAGGGUCAUUGGAAACUGGGAGACUUGAGUGCAGAAGAGGAGAGUGGAAUUCCUGGGUGUAGCGGGGAAAUGCGUAGUUAAUAUGGAGGAACAUAAGUGGGCGAAGCCGGCUCUCUGGUCUGUAACUGACGCUGAAGGUUCGAAGGCGUGGGGGGAGCAAACAGGAUUA
This 808-nucleotide ribosomal RNA is filed under the name uncultured bacterium. RNAcentral describes it as "bacterial SSU rRNA". It matches the Rfam family "Bacterial small subunit ribosomal RNA", at positions 8 to 780 of the family's 1533-position model. The record is from RNAcentral.